UCUGGUAGAUUGAUAUCUUCACUUUUAUUGUUCUUUUGUAUCCAUUAUGGGUGACCUGCAUGUAAUCAUUACACAUGCCUAAUUGGUUUAAUUAGGUUUCUAUAAGUUUACCAGUUCUGCAAUUCUAUAAGUUCAUCAGUUUACACAUGCCUAUUGCUAUUCUGGUAAAAACCAAUUUGUUUAUGGAUUGAAACUAAUUAAAUUGCUUCAUGGUUUUGAUUUGUUACUGUCAAAUCUCCUACUUAUGAUUUCUCGUUUCAAGAUAUAGAUGAUGCUAGUAAUUCACCGACAUUUAGUAUGCAACAACGCUAUGUAGAAUUUGUUAUCUAAUACUAUCAGGAUAAUUAUAUUUGGAAGUAGAAGGCAAAAUUUCACAAUACAAUUCUACGGCAGGUGAGGGUUCAUUGAUUACUCUAGAUUCCAGAAGGUAGUCUAGAAUACCCUUUUGAUUUCAUUAGCUUAAUUAUGUCAAACUGAAAAGGUAGGACUUCCAUCUCUGUGAACUGUAAGACCAUUACUGAGCAAGUGUUCUUAUAGCUAAGACCGUAUGUUGGCUUAGCAGUUAGUUUAAAGUUAAGGAUGGAGUUGAGAGUUUAACCAAAGAGCGUAGGAGAUUAGUCCUAAUUACUUUUUAUGGACUAAGAAACUUGAAAGCUUCAGACCCUCUUCGAUAGUAAUCUUAGAGGUUCAUCCGGUGAAUGAUUCUCUUCAGUUUGUAUUGUUGGAAAAUUUUGGUCUGCUAUAGAGCUAAAGUUAACUUUGUUUAGCACCAUAAACCCCACCCUUUUGCAGCAAACGACAUGGAGAGUGAGCUCUCUGAAUUAUUGCUUCUUGUUCUGGUUUAAAUUUGGUGAUAUUGAAUUAUAAAAAUGUAGGCCAAGUGCAUGAUUGUGUUCUGUUUCAUUGUGGCUGGUAUCUGUUCUCCAGUCAAUGGGUACACUCAACGUGUGUGUCAGGUUUUGAUUAACUUCAUUGAUACCUCCAAUUGUGUUUAACCCGGUCAAAUAAUAAUAUGGAUAUAUUUUGUUGACCAAUACAUCAGAAUGGUCUUUGUGUUCAAUUUGAUCUAUGAUUAUUUACUGGAAGCCACCUUUUUUUCCAUAGUGGACUAUCAAAUUAUAGGUUCCCAAUCAGGAACUGAAAUGAAUGAGGAAAAGCCUAUGUAGGCUACUUGCCAAAAGUGUACUUUUAUACCUCUUAAUCUUCCUUCUUAGAUCUAUAACCAGAUUCCUGCUAUUGGUAAGGUGGUAGCUUUCUUCUGCUGCAUAAAUUAGUAGUAGUAAUAGUAAACAAACCUAUGUUCAGAUUGGAAACAAGAUAUUUUGAAAUAUUAUGCAAUAAUAAUCUCACUGAAAAUUUUCUUAAUUUCGCCUCUUAGCUUCUGUGGAAAGUUAACAAGCUCAGUAAUCUUUUUCGCUUGGGCAGGAGGAACUAAAAUCUGUUGAAUGCCUCCAACCUGCUUCCCGAUGCUGCAAAGAGUAUGAUUGCUGAUUUUGUGACUGCGAAUCCAGAUCCGUUAAUACCAACAAAUCGAAAGAAACGACGAUCCUGUUGCUUUUGGAAAUGGCUCUGGAUUUGCGAAAGCUUGUUUGUACCUGCGUAUAGCUUCUGGUCUUCUAGUACCAGAAGCCAAGCUGUUUCUGCAUUUGGAGGAUUUGCUUUAUGUGGUUAAAGCCAAACCCCAUGAUCGCAGGAUGAUGUGUGACUCACCGAUUGUGCAAACUAAGUUGAGCCAAAGUGAUUCUCUCUGUAAAUAUUCUCAUUCUAGCAUCUCAUGUGAUUCUGAAUUUCAGUCAGAGGUUGUGAAAGAUGACUCGUUGUCAAAGGUAUUGAACGACUUGGAUCCUGCAAUAAAAGUUCAUACCCGACAAGUUCCAGCUUGAAUAGGAUGUACAAAGAUUGGAACAGCAGCUGCUUGAAGAAAUAGAGCUACGUGCUAUUCUGGAAAAUGCAAUUGAGAAAAAUGCUACUAAAUUCUC
RNA transcript from Rosa rugosa (rugosa rose), 1979 nucleotides. It is a transcript of the gene named guanine nucleotide-binding protein subunit gamma 4-like, with no coding region annotated. NCBI's taxonomy places the organism in Eukaryota, Viridiplantae, Streptophyta, Magnoliopsida, Rosales, Rosaceae. The record is from RefSeq and is a predicted model, not a curated record. The transcript has 7 exons.